CCCUCAGAGGAUUUCUGUGUUGCUUUUAGGUGAAAAUGAAACGUUUAGUUUAUAUUUUUAUUUGUUUUAAUUGGAAUUAACUCUGGAGACGAUGGUGCACACACAAACUUUGUGUGUUUUCAACGUGAGCCCGGGUUAAAUGUGACGGGAGGAAACAUUAGGAGCUUCAGCGUCUCACUGUUGUACGGACAGCAGCAGGAGGGGAGGAGCCAGAGCGAUGGGAGGAGCAAGAGAAGGAUGAGCGAGACACACACAGUUAACAUGGAGGAGACAGAAACAUCAACACUUCUCCAAUCCAAGCUAACCAGAGACUGACGUCCAAAACCUCUGUCUGAGGAUUUAACAGCCAAUUAUCAACUCAAAAGCAUCAGAAAUAAGUCAGAAUCAUCUUAAGCCAUGAUGGAUUUUUUUUUUUUUUAAAGUUCAGAGGUUUUGCAGAUCAUGUGCAAAUCAUCUAUCAGGGACUUCAGCAUUAUUAAAAAGGUCAGAAUGAAA
This is a long non-coding RNA of Carassius gibelio (silver crucian carp), 495 nucleotides long. RefSeq lists it as uncharacterized. The record is from RefSeq and is a predicted model, not a curated record. The transcript is spliced from 2 exons. Lineage: Eukaryota; Metazoa; Chordata; Actinopteri; Cypriniformes; Cyprinidae.